GUUGAACUUUUAUGAAUUUUUCAGAAUCACUACUGAAACAUGAUAAAAGUUUAAUAGGACUAAAAAUACUUGCAGCUCACAGGAGGACCUAGGAGUUACAGAAUGUCAUCCAAAACCUCCAAGGAAAUGGUGGGUUGGUAGGAAGGUUUGCCUUUUUAGGAAAAUAAUGCGGACAUCAUGUAAGAAGUGAGUGGAAUUUUGGUUGUUUGGUUGGAAGAUGGGUAGGUGUGAUGGUUGGUAGGUAGGUAAGUUGGUUGGUUGGUUGGUAUGUAGGUAAGUUGGUUGGUUGGUAGGUUGUUUGGAUGGUAGGUAGGUAAGUUGGAUGGCAUGGUAGGUUGGAUGGUUGUGGUUGGUAGGUAGGUAAGUUGGGUGGUAGGAAGGUAGGUAGGUAGUUUGGUUGGUUGAAUGGACAGUUGGUUGGUUGCUAGGAAAGUAGGUAGGUAGGUAAGUUGGUUGGUUGGUAGGUAGGUAGGUAAGUUGGUAGGUUGUUUGGAUGGUAGGUUGGUUGGUUGGUUGGUAGGAAAGUUGGUUGGUUGGUUGGUAGGAAAGUAGGUAGGUAGGUAGGUAGGUUGGUUGGUUGGUAGGAAAGUAGGUAGGUAGGUAGGUAGGUUGGUUGGUUGGUAGGAAAGUAGGUAGGUAGGUAAGUUGGAUGGUAGGGUAGGUUGGUUGGUUGGUUGGUUGGUUGGUAGGUAGGUAAAUUGGUUGGUUGGAAGGUAUGUACUUCUAUUCUGAUUUAUCCUUUCCUUGCAUAACCGAGGAAUCGUACAUCUUUUAUGAAGCAUGUCAGGAAAAAGCUUUGCAGUUACAUUUUUACAUGACACAUCCCACACACAUCCCACACACACACACACUUUCUGUAUUUCCUACAGGGCAUAUGAAGACACAGACACACUGAAACAGAUUCACAAAGUAAAACCUGAUUAAAGGCAUAACGCAGAAUAAUUGAUGACCUGAGCUCAAAAAAGCAAAGCAGUCCAGAAGGUUCAGUAUGUUCAAUACGGAUUACAGAUUAUAAUCCUCAAAUA
Molecule: long non-coding RNA, 1025 nt
Organism: Ictalurus punctatus (channel catfish)
Lineage: Eukaryota; Metazoa; Chordata; Actinopteri; Siluriformes; Ictaluridae
Source: Ensembl